GGUCCUGCUGGGCGGACGGCCAAGGCAGAGUGCCCCUCACCCACUCCACUGGGUCCUCCCACACCGCCUUCUGGCCGUGCACCUUAGAUGUCACAACAUGCCACAACAGUAAAAUUAGAGCGCAACAUUUCCUGUGAAAGGGAAGCCAGCAGCUCUCCCUGAGGACAGAGUCUAAUGCAACCUGGGGACAGUUUUCUGGAUUCACUACCUGCCAUUACUCACCUUGAUGCCGUCCUUGGCCCCCUCCUGCAGGUAUGGGAUAAUAGAGUGGUUCCAAAGAUCAAUAAACCACGAUCGAAACUCAUCCACUGUGACCGGACAUGACAGGAAAAAACACGGACCUGAGGACACAAGGGGGGGGAACAAAGGAAGGCGUGCAGCUGAUACCAGAGUUUGGGGACCCAGUCCAACACCUUGAUCAGGUCCUCGUUGGUCAGGUUCCUCUCGUUCUCCGACUCCAUCAUCUUCCUGUGCAAGUAUCGCACCAGGAAGCCGUUGGCUGGUUCCACGUUGUUGGAGAAGGUCACCAUCCUUAGAAAAUGAGAGGUGAGAGCACCGUUGACAAGUUCGCUGAUGGAGGCAGGAUUGUGAACAUCAUCCAGAAUGAUCACC
Long non-coding RNA from Hippoglossus stenolepis (Pacific halibut), 612 nucleotides. RefSeq lists it as uncharacterized. NCBI's taxonomy places the organism in Eukaryota, Metazoa, Chordata, Actinopteri, Pleuronectiformes, Pleuronectidae. The transcript has 3 exons. The record is from RefSeq and is a predicted model, not a curated record.